This is a non-coding RNA of Meleagris gallopavo (turkey), 1341 nucleotides long. NCBI's taxonomy places the organism in Eukaryota, Metazoa, Chordata, Aves, Galliformes, Phasianidae. The record is from RefSeq and is a predicted model, not a curated record.
CUGUGUGACCAGAAGGGAUGGAGCCACUUCCCAGCCCUCAGUUAAGAAUUGACAGUGGAGCUAAGGGUAUCUUGCUGAGGAUCCCUGCAUAACUGAGGCCUUCUGACUGUGGAAUAGAUGGAGAGAGAAAGCAUUGGCUGAGUGUAUGGGGCCUGAACCUCUGAUUAAUCACCUGAGGUUUACUUCACAGAACAGUUACACGAGCUACACAGAACAGUGACUCCAGAAUAAGAGGUUUCCUGAGCUCACAUCUCACCUUCCAUCCCUGAACUUGCAGGAGCACAAGCCACUUCAUUAGAAAGCAAAGCUAUGUUUGUGGAGUAUGCUGUUUAACAAUAUUUUCCCCAAAUAAAGGAAAGUAUUAGUUUGUGUCAAAAGGGAUUUUGCUUUGCUGAUCCACUGCAGUGGCCAGGUGUAUUUUCUGAGAACCGGAGGAGAAGGGGCUGUGGAUGUGAUCUGUAAGCAGAAGCAGCUGGUGGCAGGCAAGUCUGUAUGGCUGGGGAGGCCAGCACAGCAUGCAGCAACACCACAAGUUGCUGCAGGAAAUGAGCCAGAAUUGGGUUGAGAGCAGAAGGACAGAGGGGAAGAUAUAUCAAGUAGUGUUUUAAAUAGAUUUUGGAUAUACAAUGUGGAUUAAAGCAGCAAGUCUCAGACCUUGUAUCUUUCUUUCAUCCUCUGAUGUAUAAAAGCUGUUCUAAAUUGUAGCUGACUACUCUUCCCCUUACUUGUCCCUAGACUAUGUAUUCUUUCAGGCAUGCAAGGGAUUUUUGUUUUCUUCCAUUUGGAAAGUCUCUUUCAGCUCAGGAAUGUUGCUUGGCUCGGGAAAGACAGUAAAAGUCAAGAAGGAUUGAACUGUUAUCCCUACAAAGUGAAUUAAAAAUAAUGUGUGCAGUUGUACUUAACACUUUGUGGUGUCUGUCUCUUGUAGCUGAGAUCACAAGUAUGAAGUGAGUGCCCGUUACUGUAAUACAAGCAAGUAAUUUCUCAAAAGGCAGAAGAAAGAACUAGUGUGAGGUCUUGUAACUUCUGCAAAAUUUAAAUUACAAAAUAGGUUUACAGUAAUGCUAUUUUUCAUUCAGUAUUUGAAGCCUCUUGAUCACUGUAGCUUUUUAAUAUUGUAAAUGUUGGCCCAUAGUGACUUCGAACAGGAGUGCCAUAGAUAAGAAAUAAAACAGGAAUUAAACUGUAGGCUGAGCAAAAUCAUUUGUUUAUGUGUGUCUGUACACUUAUAUAAAGUCAGUCUCAACUUGUCUAUAUCUAUAUGGGUUUAUUGUAAUGAGUAUAACCACUUGUCUUUCCGAAUCAUUUUAAAAUGUCUGUAAAUAAUUGUAUGAUUUUAGA